UGCGUAGGUGGUGAGGUAAGUCGGAUGUGAAAUCUCCAAGCUCAACUUGGAAAUGGCAUUGGAAACUACCUCGCUGGAGGUUUGGAGGGGGGGACUGGAAUUCUCGGUGUAGCAGUGAAAUGCGUAGAUAUCGAGAGGAACACCAGUGGCGAAGGCGAGUCCCUGGACAACACCUGACACUGAGGCACGAAAGCUAGGGGAGCAAACA
This 208-nucleotide ribosomal RNA is filed under the name uncultured bacterium. RNAcentral describes it as "partial 16S ribosomal RNA". It matches the Rfam family "Bacterial small subunit ribosomal RNA", at positions 568 to 774 of the family's 1533-position model. The record is from RNAcentral.